UACAGAGGGGGCAAGCGUUGUUCGGAAUUACUGGGCGUAAAGGGCGCGUAGGCGGCCUCUUAAGUCGAACGUGAAAUCCCCGGGCUCAACCCGGGAACUGCGUCCGAUACUGGGAGGCUUGAAUCCGGGAGAGGGAUGUGGAAUUCCAGGUGUAGCGGUGAAAUGCGUAGAUAUCUGGAAGGAACACCGGUGGCGAAGGCGGCAUCCUGGACCGGUAGUUGACGCGUGACGGCGCGG
This 237-nucleotide ribosomal RNA is filed under the name uncultured bacterium. RNAcentral describes it as "partial 16S ribosomal RNA". It matches the Rfam family "Bacterial small subunit ribosomal RNA", at positions 524 to 756 of the family's 1533-position model. The record is from RNAcentral.